This 255-nucleotide ribosomal RNA is filed under the name uncultured bacterium. RNAcentral describes it as "partial 16S ribosomal RNA". It matches the Rfam family "Bacterial small subunit ribosomal RNA", at positions 524 to 777 of the family's 1533-position model. The record is from RNAcentral.
GACAGAGGGUGCGAACGUUGUUCGGAAUUACUGGGCGUAAAGCGCAUGUAGGCGGCAGCGCAAGUCGGGCGUGAAAUCCCACGGCUCAACCGUGGAAGUGCACUCGAAACUGCGCAGCUAGAGUCCUGGAGAGGAAGGUGGAAUGCUUGGUGUAGAGGUGAAAUUCGUAGAUAUCAAGCGGAACACCGGUGGCGAAGGCGGCCUUCUGGACAGUGACGUGACGCUGAGAUGCGAAAGCGUGGGGAGCAAACAGGG